RNAcentral lists this ribosomal RNA (498 nucleotides) under uncultured bacterium. RNAcentral describes it as "partial 16S ribosomal RNA". It matches the Rfam family "Bacterial small subunit ribosomal RNA", at positions 30 to 523 of the family's 1533-position model. The record is from RNAcentral.
AUUGAACGCUGGCGGCAUGCUUUACACAUGCAAGUCGAACGGUAACAGGUCUUCGGAUGCUGACGAGUGGCGAACGGGUGAGUAAUACAUCGGAACGUGCCUGGUAGUGGGGGAUAACUACUCGAAAGAGUAGCUAAUACCGCAUGAGAUCUACGGAUGAAAGCAGGGGACCUUCGGGCCUUGUGCUACUAGAGCGGCUGAUGGCAGAUUAGGUAGUUGGUGGGGUAAAGGCUUACCAAGCCUGCGAUCUGUAGCUGGUCUGAGAGGACGACCAGCCACACUGGGACUGAGAAACGGCCCAGACUCCUACGGGAGGCAGCAGUGGGGAAUUUUGGACAAUGGGCGAAAGCCUGAUCCAGCAAUGCCGCGUGCAGGAUGAAGGCCCUCGGGUUGUAAACUGCUUUUGUACGGAACGAAAAGCCUGGGGCUAAUAUCCCCGGGUCAUGACGGUACCGUAAGAAUAAGCACCGGCUAACUACGUGCCAGCCGCCGCUGUAA